UUCAUAUAAUUACUUUAAUUUAUGUAUUGUAUGUCUUUUAUUUGACACUCUGAACAUGUGAAAUAAACAAGCUUUCUCAUACAAUCUUUUCCUCAACAAAUAGCAACAAAUCUCAAAUUUUGCAAAAUAUCAUUCUAACAAUUUCAAUAUUGUAAACUAUUUUUGCACAGAUAUGCAUAACAUAUGUAGAGAGUUGUUCUGAUAUAAUUAUAGUUAUUUAUGAUAAUAAGAAAAACAUAAUUUCCCAAUAAAUUAGAAAUGUAACUACCACAAAAAUAAACAAACUAAAAAAUACAGCAUUCAUGCAAAAUCUAUACAUGAUGAAUUUUAAAUUGUUAUAUUUUUGGAAUUGAUAGUAGCAUUAUUCAACUACAAGUACCGAAUAAAAUUGUGAUAAUAUUUUACAACGAUAUUUUGAGUAAUUCUCUCUUUCUUUUUCUUUUUUUCAAACAUCCAGACAAAUUCUGAAGAUUAAUUUUGGAAUUGAUUGAUUUUGCUCGCACUGAUGCAAAGAAAUUGCAGUGAG
RNAcentral lists this long non-coding RNA (526 nucleotides) under Physcomitrium patens. Its description in RNAcentral is "long non-coding RNA (PPAT_LNC006124)". Lineage: Eukaryota; Viridiplantae; Streptophyta; Bryopsida; Funariales; Funariaceae. The record is from RNAcentral.